CUUUACUAUAGCCUGCUAUUGAAACUACGCUUAUGCUGCUUAGCAUAGGUGGGAGCCUUUGAAACUUGGAUUCCGGUCCGAGUGGAGGCGCAAUGUGAAAUACCACCCUGCAGUGGUGUGGUUUCUAACCUCGAUUUAACCUGUCGAGGGACAGUGGCUGGUGGGUAGUUUAACUGGGGCGGUUGCCUCCUAAAUGGUAACGGAGGCGUUUAUUAAGGUAGGCUAGACGCGGAUGGACAUCGCGUCGGUAGUGCAAACGCAUAAGCCUGCUUGACUGCAAGGACUGCAAUCCGCGCAGAGACGAAAGUCGAAGUUAGUGAUCCGAUGCGUUCGAGUGGAAGACGCAAAGCCCAACGGAUAAAAGUUA
This 367-nucleotide ribosomal RNA is filed under the name uncultured organism. RNAcentral's name for it is "bacterial LSU rRNA". It matches the Rfam family "Bacterial large subunit ribosomal RNA", at positions 2099 to 2465 of the family's 2925-position model. The record is from RNAcentral.